UACCUUGGAGUGACGUGUGGCCAGGGA
This 27-nucleotide non-coding RNA is filed under the name Mus musculus (house mouse). The record is from RNAcentral. Lineage: Eukaryota; Metazoa; Chordata; Mammalia; Rodentia; Muridae.